Molecule: ribosomal RNA, 492 nt
Filed under: uncultured bacterium
Lineage: Bacteria
Description: partial 16S ribosomal RNA
Rfam family: Bacterial small subunit ribosomal RNA
Source: RNAcentral
AGUGAACGCUGGCGGUAGGCCUAACACAUGCAAGUCGAACGGCAGCACAGUAAGAGCUUGCUCUUACGGGUGGCGAGUGGCGGACGGGUGAGGAAUACAUCGGAAUCUACUUUUUCGUGGGGGAUAACGUAGGGAAACUUACGCUAAUACCGCAUACGACCUACGGGUGAAAGCAGGGGAUCUUCGGACCUUGCGCGAUUGAAUGAGCCGAUGUCGGAUUAGCUAGUUGGCGGGGUAAAGGCCCACCAAGGCGACGAUCCGUAGCUGGUCUGAGAGGAUGAUCAGCCACACUGGAACUGAGACACGGUCCAGACUCCUACGGGAGGCAGCAGUGGGGAAUAUUGGACAAUGGGCGCAAGCCUGAUCCAGCCAUACCGCGUGGGUGAAGAAGGCCUUCGGGUUGUAAAGCACUUUUGUUGGGAAAGAAGAGCAGCAGGUUAAUACCCCGCUGUUCUGACGGUACCCAAAGAAUAAGCACCGGCUAACUUCGUG